This 15236-nucleotide long non-coding RNA is filed under the name Gossypium raimondii (Peruvian cotton). RNAcentral describes it as "long non-coding RNA (GRAI_LNC000633)". The record is from RNAcentral. Lineage: Eukaryota; Viridiplantae; Streptophyta; Magnoliopsida; Malvales; Malvaceae.
UGUCAGACGCGUAGACGACCGGUGGUAGGCGAGCCUUGGGCGGUGGCGGCGUGCGAGGAGGUGGAACGGCGCGCAUUGCUGGAGCCUGGGCAUGCGGCGCUGGGGCUUAAGGUUUCCUUUGAUGGCUGAAAAGCUUUUAAGUUUUGUGGGCUAGGGUUUUUUGAUUUGUUUGGGUUUUUUUUGUAAUUGGACUGCUAGGCCCGGGCAGAUUUUGGGCUUUACAGCUGCCCGUCUUUGCUCAUUGUCGUGCAACGGGAAUGAAGCAAAGACUUUUAAGAAAAGCCAAAAUUGCCUGGUCUCGUCGAGUUUUGACCUCUUGGUACUGCUCCAAUCCACUGCGCCUUGUUGCUUUGAUCCACUUCACGACAUCUUUAGAGAGAUAUGACUUCACUCUAUUCUACUGCAACUCCAUGGGGAUGAGAUUUGUGGUUUUAGUCUGCUCCACUGUAAAUUCAGGGAGAUAAGACCAGAUGCGAUUUGCUCCACUACUGCUUAGGGAGAUAAGAUCUGUGGUCUUCGAUCUACUUUGCCACCAGUAUGAAAAGACAAGAUCUGCAUCUUCGAUCUACUUCGUCACCAGUAUGGGAAGACAAGAUCUGCAUCUUCGAUCCACUUCCUACAAAUAUAGGAAGAUAGGACCUGCUAUCUUCGAUCUACUUCACGCCAAUACAUGAAGACAAGAUCUGCUUUCUUCGAUCUACUUCACCACCAGUAUGGGAAGACAAGAUCUGCAUCUUCGAUCCACUUCCUGCCAAUAUAGGAAGAUAGGACCUACUAUCUUCGAUCUACUUCACGCCAAUACAUGAAGACAAGAUCUGCUUUCUUCGAUCUACUUCACCACCAGUAUGGGAAGACAAGAUCUGCAUCUUCGAUCCACUUCCUGCCAAUAUAGGAAGAUAGGACCUACUAUCUUCGAUCUACUUCACGCCAAUACAUGAAGACAAGAUCUGCUUUCUUCGAUCUACUUCGCCACCAGUAUGGGCAGAUAGGACCUUCUAUCUUCGAUCUACUUCACGCCAACACAUGAAGACAAGAUAUACUUUCUUCGAUCUACUUCGCCACCAGUAUGGGAAGACAAGAUCUGCAUCUUUGAUCCACUUCCUACCAAUAUAGGAAGACAGGACCUGCUAUCUUUGAUCUACUUCACGCCAAUACAUGAAGACAAGAUCUGCAUCUUCGAUCCACUCCCUACCAAUAUAGGAAGAUAGAACCUGUUAUCUUCGAUCUACUUCACGCCAACACAUGAAGACAAGAUCUGCUUUCUUCGAUCUACUUCGCCACCAGUAUGGGAAGACAAGAUCUGCAUCUUUGAUCCACUUCCUACCAAUAUAGGAAGAUAGGACAUGCUAUCUUCGAUCUACUUCAUGCCAAUACAUGAAGACAAGAUCUGUUUUAAUGACUUCAAUCUAUCCCACUGCAACUUCAGGGGUGUAGGAUCUAUUUUUUUAAUCUGUUCUCUGGGGAACAUGACCUGUAAAAUCUAUUUCAUGGACCUAUUUAUGCCUAGUGUUUAGGAUGUCAUGAUUAGAAUGAAUCAAAUGCUCCUAACUAGAUUUGUAUGUAUGAUAUUUGCAUGAAUACAGAAUGUCAUUUUUCGAGAAUGAUCCCCUUUUUAAUGUUUGGGUUGUCGUUCAUUAUUGUUCAUCAAGGUUCUAUCACUGAUGUUUUCGCGUUCAGCAAGUAUCUUUGACAGAAGAUUCAAAGAAAUAGUCUCAAAUUAGACUAUCCGUUCUCAAAUGUUUUCAACCCUCAGGUUUGGUCAGUUCUAAACAAUAGUCCUGUUUUAGGUCCUCGUAUUAUUUAGAAGCUUUCAGAGUAAUAUGCAGAACUCCUUCUGCAUGAGUAUUGUCAGUCCAUUAAUCGUUAUUUAAAUGAAAAAUGCUCGAAAAAUAUUAUCAAAAUGGACAAAAUGGGAUUUUGUUGAGAGCAAAGCUCUAAACAAACAAAUCAAUCAAGAUAGCAAAUUUUUCUGAGAUGCGAAAUAAGAUGAAAAGAUUAUCACAUGGAUAAGAUGGAAAUUUAAUGAGAGUAAAGCUCUAAAUGAACAAAUUAAUCAAGAUAGCAAAUUUUGCUAGAAUACAAAAUGAGAAUAAAUUAAUCAAGAUGGCGUAUCUUGUCGAAAAUACAAAAAAAUGAAUAAAAUAGGUGCCCCAGAUAUCAUAGCAUGAGCUUCUCUGCCCCAAACUUCUUGAGGACCCUUUUUGAACUUGACAUGUGUUUAGAAGUCCUAGAAGACUUUGUUGAUGCCCCAAGAUGUAGCAUCUCUCCUUCUUGUUAAUUUGGAGAAGGCAAGACUACCGUAUGCCUCAUCUUUGAUCAAAAAUUUGAACUGUCCAUUCCUGGGUUUUCAAUUCAAAACCCCUUUGGUCUCAAGGUGCCCUUUGCGGGUUUUCGCCUUGGCCUCUCCCUUUUUUUUUCCUUUUUUUGUUGGGCAAAGUACUUCUUCACUGAAUCUGAAUUCAUAGGAUUAGGCAGGCUUUUUCCAUCCAUCUCGGUCAAAAUUAACGCCCCUCCAGAAAAGGCUUUCUUUACUACAUAAGGUCCCUCCCAGUUUGGCAUCCACUUUCCUCUAAAGUCUUUUUGUAUGGGAAGGAUCUUCUUUAGUACCAAGUCCCCUUCAUGGAAGUUCCUAGGACGAACUUUCUUAUUGUAAGCUCGUAUCAUUCGUUUCUGGUACAUUUGACCAUGACAGAUAGCUCUUAACCUCUUUUCUUCGAUCAAGUUCAGCUGAUCAUAUCGGGAUUGAACCCAUUCUGCUUCGUCUAACUUUAAUUCUGAUAAAACUUGAAGAGAGGGAAUUUCAACCUCAAUUAGUAGCACUGCCUCCAUUCCAUAAACCAAAGAGAAUGGUGUUGCCCCGGUGGAAGUCCUAACAAACGUUCGAUAAGCAUAGAGGGCGAACGGUAACUUCUCGUGCCAAUCUCUAUAGGUCUCAGUCAUUUUCCCCACAAUCUUCUUGAUAUUCUUAUUAGCUGCCUCCACCUCGCCAUUCAUUUUUGGAUGAUAUGGUGAUGAGUUGUGGUGCUUGAUCUUGAAUUGACUACAGACCUCUGCUAUCGUGCUAUUGUUCAAGUUCAAUGCAUUGUCAGAUAUUAUCCUUUCGAGCAUUCCAUACCGACAUAUGAUUUCCUUCUUUAGAAACUUGUUGACGGUUGCCUUUGUGACAUUGGCGUAAGAAGUAGCUUCUACCCACUUACUAAAGUAAUCAAUCACUACAAAAAUGAAACGAUGUCCGUUUGAAGCCUUCGAUGAUAUCGGCCCAAUGACGUCCAUGCCCCACAUGGAGAAAGGCUAUGGGGAAGUCAUGACGUGAAGGGGUGAGGGAGGCACAUGAAUUUUGUCUCCAUAAAUCUAGCAUUUAUGGCACUUCUUAGCAUACUUGAUGCAAUCUCCUUCCAUGGUAGACCAAUAAUAUCUGAAUCUCAUGAUUUGUCUGGCCAUUGUGAAACAGUUGGCGUCUGUUCCACAAACACCAUCAUGGACUUCUUCCAAGAUUUGCUUGGCCUCCAUAGCGUCCACGCAUCUUAACAGCACCUGAUCCUUUUCUCUUUUGUACAGGAUCUCUCCAUCUAAGACGUAGUCACUAGCCAGCCUCCUCAACGUUCUCUUGUCAUUCUCAGUUGCUUGGUUUGGGUAUUCACGAUUUUUCACAUAUCGCAAUAUGUCCUGAUACCAAGGGUAGUCAUCUUUUCCUUCUUCCUUGUCAAUGUUACAACAGUGGGCUGGAGCAUCAUAAAUGCUUAUUUGGAUAGGCUUCACAUCCUCUUGUUUAUUUACUUUGAUCAUGGAAGCCAACGUAGCCAAAGCGUCGGCCAUCUGAUUCUCGUCUCGUGGGAGAUAACAAAAAGUGAUGUCGUCAAACUCCUCAAUCAAUUCUAGGACUAGCUUUCGAUAAUUAAUCAACUUGGGGUCUCUUGUUUCCGAUUCGCCUUUGAGUUGUUAAAUUACCAAUGUCGAAUCCCCAUAUACCUCAAGUACAUUGAUUUUGCGUUCUAUAGCCACACGAAUUCCCAUGACACAUGCUUCAUAUUCUGCCAUGUUGUUUGUGCAAUCAAAAUCUAGUUUACUAGUGAAUGGAUAAUGAUCACCGUCUGGAGAUACGAAGACUGCCCCAAUCCCGUUGCCCACAACAUUUGAGGCUCCAUCAAAGUUUAAUUUCCAAGCAUUGCUUUCUUGUGUGUUUGCUUCGGUAGUUGCCACACACAUCAGAUCCUCAUUUGGGAAAUUGAAGUUCAAAGGCUCAUAAUCAUCCAGGGCUCUACUAGCUAGAAAAUCCGCUAUUGCGUUCCCUUUUACAGCCUUUUGAUUCACAUAGGUUAUGUCAAAUUCAGAUAGUAGAAUUUGCCAUCGGGCCAUCCUUCCGUUUAGAGCGGUUGACUCCAUCAUGUAUUUCAGAGGGUCCAACUUUGAGAUUAACCAAGUCGUAUGGUACAACACGUAUUGUCUCAAUCUUCGAGUAGUCCAAACCAAGGCGCAACAUAAUUUUUCAAUUGAUGAAUAUCUCGUUUUGUAUUCAGUGAACUUCUUGCUGAGAUAGUAGAUUGCUAUUUCUUUUCGUCUUGACUCAUCAUGUUGGCCGAGCACGCAUCCCAUGGAAUUCUCAAAUACUGCCAAGUAUAGAACCAGUGGCUUGUCAGGGCAAGGCGGUAUUAGUACUGGGGCGUUGGACAAGUAAUGUUUGACGUUUUCGAAAGUUUUCUGGCACUCCUCAUCCCAUACACCUGGAUUGUGUUUCUUAAGGAGACGGAAAAUGGGAUCACAUUUCUCAGUUAAUUGUGAAAUAAACCGAGCGAUAUAAUUUAGUCUUCCUAGAAAACCUCGAACUUCUUUUUGAGUACGUGGCGGAGGCAAUUCUUGUAUGGCUUUGACUUAGUCUGGGUCAAUCUCAAUUCCCCUUUCGCUGACUAAAAAUCCUAGCAACUUCCCUGAUUUAGCCCCGAAAGUGCAUUUAGUUGGGUUAAGCUUUAGCUGGAAUUUCCUUAACCUUAGGAAUAAUUUUCUCAGAACUUGCACGUGUUCUCCUUCUGUUCUGGACUUUGCGAUCAUGUCGUCAACAUAGACUUCUAUCUCUUUAUGCAUCAUAUCAUGGAACAACGUUACCAUGGCUCUUUGAUAUGUCACUCCCGUAUUUUUUAACCCAAAAGGCAUCACUUUGUAGCAAAACGUCCCCCACAUUGUUACGAAGGUGGUCUUCUCUCUGUCCUCAGAAUGCAUCUUAAUUUGGUUGUACCCAGAGAAACCAUCCAUGAAAAAUAACAGUGAGUAUCCGGCCGUGCUGUCCUCUAAGGUAUCAAUGUGAGGCAAUGGGAAAUUAUCCUUGGGACUGGCUUUGUUCAAAUCUCGGUAGUCCACACAUAUUUGCACCUUCCCAUCUUUUUUAGGAACAGGGACUAUAUUGGCUACCCAUUUUGAAUACUUGACCACUUGUAAAAACCCAGCAUCAAACUGCUUCUUAACUUCUUUUAUUUUCAGCAAAACAUCAGGCCUCAUCCUUCGGAGCUUUUGUUGAACUGGUUUGCAUUCUUCCUUUAUAGGCAGCCGGUGUACCACGAUAUCAGUACUUAAUCCGGGCAUAUCUUGAUAGGACCAUGCGAAGACAUCUUUAAAUUCUUGAAGCAACCUAACGAGGUCUCGCCUUGUUUCCUUGGUAAUGCAAGCGCCAAUUUUUACCUCCCUGCCCUCUUUUAAGCUCACGACUUCUACAGAUUCCUUAUAGGGUAGGGUUCAUUUUUCUUCUUCCUUCACCAUUCUUAACAAAUCCGGAGAUAAAACGCUGCAUUGGUCAUCUUCAAAAUCCUGAGGAUCAUCCAUACUCAUGUCUUGUUCAAAUAGGGACUCUGAGUUAGUAACAGUGUCGCUCAUCUCAUUGAUAUCUAAAGACCUGUUAUUGGGACAAAGGGAGGCCCAAAUAAAAAGAAUCUAAGAAUACUUGUAUGCAUAGUAUGAUUAUAAAUGGAAUGAAAAGAAUGAAAGAAUAUUUGCUCAAGGUGAGACUGAAUGAUAAGUUUUCAUUGAAAUGAGAUUUUGGACAUGUCCCUUUUACAAAAGAUUCUUAUUACCACCAGGCUUAGGGCAACAAGUGUUUUGAAUAUUACUCUGAAUUAGUUCUAAAUGUUACAGGGAUCUCCUCUGCAGUCCAGUUGUUCAGAACACUUCCAGGUUCGUAAGGGCGAAUGCCCGAUAAAUUUCUUUCCACCUUUUCUUCUUCAAAUAUGGUACUGAUGUCCAACCUUCUGGUCCUUCCUUCCAUAACUUCAUUCUUUCCUUCGGGGUAGACAAUUCCCCCCGACGCAAAUGUCUUAGAUAUAUGGGGAAAGGUCAUUGGUUCCCAUUUGGUUUCCAUCCCGCUCAAACGUGCUCUUCUUUUCUCUCGUUUUUUCUCCAAUUCCUUCUUUCUUUCCCUUGCGUCAGGCUUAUACCCCAAACCAUAACGGUCCUGUUUGUUAAUCGAGAUUGGUACUUCAACCCAUCCCUGGAGGUAUUUUCCAAGUCCUCUUCCAGGUAACGCUCCAUUUCCCAUUGUUAGUUGCAAACCCAUUGUCGUAGCCUUGGAUAUUUUAGGCGCUGGAAUUUUACUCCCCUCGAUGACAAAUGUUGCAUUUACGAAUUCCAAUGAUCAGAAUGAACAUUCUAUCGUUUCACUAUCGGCCUCUAUAUAUGGCGUGUCAUUGGUAACUGAUGCAAUGAUGUCUUCUUCUGCACCUAUAGUUACUAAUCGACCCUCUAUUACCAAUUUCAACUUUUGGUGGAGUGACGAUGGUACAGCCCCUGCAGAAUGGAUCCAAGGCCUCCCCAAUAGGCAAUUAUACGAAGGCUUAAUAUCCAUCACUAGGAAAUCCACCUCGUAUGUAUUUGGGCCAAUCAAGAGGGGGAUCUCUAUUCUUCCCAUUACCCUCCUUUUAGUGCCAUCGAAUGCUCUCACUAUAUUUUGGCAUGACUUCAUGUGAGUGCUAUCCACAGGCAGCCUGUUUAACAUGGACAGGGGUAAAACAUUCAGUGCUGAUCCAUUGUCAAUGAGUACCCCCGGUAGUAUGCACCCCUUGCAACGGGUAGUGAUGUGCAGGGACUUGGUAGAUCCCAUACUCCCGGGCGGGAUCUCAUCAUCGUUGAAGAAGAUGAAGUUGUCGGCACUUAUAUUGUUAACCAGGCGAUCCAACUUAUUCACUGAGAUAUCGUUAGCAACAUAAGUCUCAUUUAGCACUUUUAUCAACGCAUUACGAUGUGUCUCUUAACUUAGAAGUAACUCGAGCACUGAGAUGCGAGUCGGUUGCUUAUGCAGUUCUUCCACCACGCUGUACUCACUAUGCUUUAGAAAUUUUAAAAAUUCUCUAGCCUCAUCUUCGGUCACCGGUUUAUUAACAUGUGAUUCAAUUCUAGCCAUCUUGGUUCUAUCUUGUUCAACUGCCAACGCUUUUCCUUUUGUAGGCUCUACUUUUGUACUUACUGGGUCAUAGCGUUUUCCACUGCGCGUAUAGAAGCCUGCAUCAUUACCCUCUUCUGAAGCAUUUAUCAAUUUCUCCUCUCCCGUGAUCGUCACAUUGCAGUCAUAAUUCCAAGGAACCUUUUUGCUAUCCUUGUAAGGAAAGGCUACAGGUUUUUGGAUUAUGACCCUUGGCGCCAUUUGUGUUCCAAAAUCUGUGCUCCUUGGCCUUGAAAUAAUCACCACUGGGCGAUUUUGGGUCUCUCCCGUAGGUCCUUCCUCCGAGGCAUAGACUUCUCCUUCUUCUAUUCCUUUGAUCUCUUUAUAAAAUUCCACUUCUUUGUUGUUAAUCAGAUUUUGUACCAUGAUUCUGAACUCAGCGCAUUUUUUGAUGUCAUGGCCUCUUCGGCAUGAAACUCGCAGUACGUCUUUGUUCCUUCGGGCCUUUCCUUUGAAUCUUGUUUGAUGAGACCUCCUUCUAUCAUUUGUCUCCAAACCCAACUCAAUGGGGUUUUUAUCUCUGCAAUGUCGGCCUUGAUUCUCUUUCUCCCACCUUUGAUUAUUGCGUUUAUCUCUUUAUCAGAAUGAUUGGGUAACAGAUUCACUGCUACGUUUGGUCCUGAUGGGUUGUCAAACUUCACGAUCCCCAUCUUAAUGAACCUUUCCACCGCCUUUUUAAACACAGUGCAAUUCUCAAUUGAGUGCCCUGGUAUCCUUGCAUGGUAUUCACAUUGGGCAUUCAUGUCAUACCAUUUGGGGUAUGGAGGUUACAUGGGUUCUAGAUAAAAUGGAGAUACUAUGUGUGCAUCAAAUACCUUCUAAUACAGUUCCCCGUAUGUUAUUGGGAUGGGCGUGAAUUGAAGUCUCUCUGUGUUAGGCCUUGUAUUGGGCCUUGUGUUGGGUUCUUGCCUUGAGGGGGCCUGGUGACUAGUGGCUAUCGUUUUUAGAGGGCCAACAGUUAUCGGUUUCGAAUAACCUUUGUUAUAUGUGCUUAUGUUGUUUACCUCACUUUCUUUUUUUCUCGGGGCUUGUCUUUUGGAGCUUUCCCCCGCGUCUAUUUUACCGCUUCUUAUUGCGUUUUCAAUCAUUUCACCGGACAUUACCAUAUCCGAGAAGCUCUUGGUAGCAUUCCCCAACAUGUGGUUAAUGAAUGAGGCCUUCAACAUAUUAAUAAAAAGCAUGGUAACCUCUUUUUCCAAAAGGGGUGGUUGGACUUGCGUUGCUACCUCCCUCCAUCGUUGGGCGUAUUGCCUGAAACUCUCGUUUUGUUUCUUUUCCAUGUUCUAUAACGUAAUUCUGUCGGGUGUUAUAUCCGUCACAUGACUGUAUCGCUUCAUAAAAGCUUACGCCAAGUCUCUCUAUGAACUAACCUUAGUACGACUCAGCUGGUUGUACCACUUGGCUGCAGACCCGAUCAAACUGUCCUGGAAGCAAUGGAAUAACAGUUGAUCAUUGUUGACGUAUCCUGUCAUUCUUCGACAGAACAUAGUUAUAUGAGCUUCAGGACAACUAGUCCCGUUGUACUUUCAAACUCCGGCAUCUUGAAUUUAGGCGGGGGCACUAAAUCAGGAACCAAACUCAAAUCUUUGGCGUCAACUCCACAUUGGUAGUCGGUGUUCUCCAUGGCUCUAAAUUUCUCCUCUAGCCAUCUACACCGGUCCUCGAGUUGUUUUGGCAGGUCCAUUCUUACUUUUUCCAUUUCUGCCAUGUCAUCGAGAUCAAAGACCACAAGGUUGGUAGGGUUGUCCCCGGGAUUAGAACCCGAGCCUACUUGAAAGUGCAUUGGUACCGAGGCGCCAACCCGAUAUUGAGGUCCAAUAGUGACAGGUGCUCUUUGGGGGCACAUAUCUAGCUGUACCUGAGUGCUUGUCGUGGUAAAACCUAGAGGAUAAACAGGGUCCUCCUGAUCAACUCCCGAAUUAAUUACAGGGCUCUUUCCUUUAUCAGCCAAUAAUUGUGCCAGUUGGCUCAUAAUUCUUUGGGAUCCAUCGCGUCUUGUUGGAUUUUAUCCAAUUGUUCUUGCAUCUUUUCUUGCAUAUCUUUUUGCAUUUGUUCCAGCCUUUCUAACCUCUGAUCCAUUGCUUUUGUUUGACGUCAAGUACCGUAGUGAUAUUGGGUUGGAUUUUUGUUGGUUUCCAAGGUAACUGUGACAAUUUUGAUUAAUUAGGGCCUUCUUAAUGAAACUUAAUGCAUGUAAUGAAAUGUGAUGUAAAUGUAUGAAUGCAAAGGGAGGCAUUGAUUCCAAUUCAAUUUCAUUAGAAGAACUCAAUUUCGAAAAUAAAUUUCUUCACAUAAAAUGGACUACAUAUACGACUUUGCCUUUAUACUUAAAGCCUUAACACUCUUAAGGAGCCGAGCUAACUCUCGACCUCGGCUCGAUUCUGAUUCAAACUUUAAACUUAAUACAUCAGCCUAAACUGCUAAGGUUUGUAGAUGAUCCGCUACUUCCCGUACUUGAGUCACAGCUUCGCCCAUAAUGUAAUCCCUUUCUCUAAUCUGAUUUUGAGAAUGAUGGAAUUGCUCUUGGCACUGUUCAUUACGCCUUUCAAGAAGUUCCAUUCGCAGUUCAGAAUUGUGCAAUGCGUCCUCAAGAUCCCCUAUCUUUCCUUUCAGUUCUUCGAUCCUAUUUAAGCUCGCUCUUAACUCUAUCACAGAGUUGUGACUACGGUGCAGAUGAAGCGACUUUUCCAACUCUACUACCCGGGCUUUUAAUCUUGCUUCUUCAUUCUGGCAUUCUGAUAAGUUUUUCUCCAAAGCGCUCUCUCUAACUAGGGCGUCUUGAAAUUUCUUCUCCCACUGAUCAGCUUUGGUCUUUUCUUAUUUGAUUUCCUGUUGCCACUGCUCUGAUUUUUUACCCAAACCGGCAGUUCUCAUCGACAAUCGCAGCUUCUUAUAAUCCAUUUUUAGGCUAUCCAAAUCCUCUUCAGCCUUGUUCUUUCCUUUCUUUAGUUUCUCGGCUUCUAGCUUGUGGAUAUCGACUUCUAGUCCCAAACGCGUCUUUUCCUCUUCUAGCUGCUCUAUCCUCUUUCCCCAUUCCGAACUCCUUUUUUCAAAGUCCUGUUUGAUGAUUUCUAAUUCUGACGGAGCUACUUGCAGACGCUCCUCUAGAGACUGAACGCAAUCUUCUCUCGGCCCAGGGAUAUUGUCAUUGACCCUUUUGUUCCACCACCCAUAAUACUCGGGAGUUGUCAUUGCCCCUAUGGUAAAUCUUUUCAUCCGAUGAACUCAUUUCCAAGCAUUAGAUAUUUCUCGAAUUUUUCUCUUAUAGUUAUCAUCCUUAUAAGAGAACUCACACUGAGCCAACCCAUGCGUUACCGGUAUGAACUGUCUCGAUCUAUAUUGUCUUAAUACAAGUAAAGGGGUAUAUCCGAUAGCUCCCCAAACUCCAAGUAAAGGGACCCAGUCGAAGUCCCCACAUCGAUAUAAGAUCUCAUCGGGCACCAUCUAAUGAGCUUUCCAUUCAACGUCAUCUUCUUGAAGACUUUGGAGAAUCACCAUCCACUUCUCUUCCGUUAUGUCGUCUCGUCUUGGUGUAGCCGCUAGUUCUUUCAAUGGGGAGUAACUUUCUAAGAAGACCCGAUAUGAGACCUUUUCCACCUUCCAAAAGUGACUAUGAAACCACAUCAAUAGCAACUGCGCGCACCCGAUGAACCUUCCCUCACCCGCUCUUCGACACGCAUUUAGGGACCUGAAGGUUUCGGCUAAAAUUACUGGGACCGGUGUGACUCCCUUGUCAAGCCUAUCAAAUAAAUCUGAAACUGCUUCAUCCAUGUGGCCUAAUGCCCUAGGGAAGACAACCAAGCCAUAAAUACUUAAUGUAAAGAUAUCAACCCUUUUCUUUAUAUCCGGAUGUACCAAUAUCAGAUCCCGCAAGCUUUUCCAAGGUAUGCAUUUGCUGUCCCCCUUUUGUUUAAUCCAGGCUGCAACCCAUUGCUCGCUCAUUCCAGUGAUGCACACUAAUUUCUUCAAGAAUGUUGGGACAUUAGCUGCUCUCGAGUAGACUUUGUCAACUUGGAUCCUCGGAUAUCGUAGCAAGGUUGUAUAUUCUUCUACUGUAGGUACCAAAUCUACUUUCCUAAACGUGAGAUUAUAGGCUGGAUUCCAGUACUGCGCAAGAGCUCGAAAUAGGCACUUGUCUACUCUUACAUCAAGCAAAUAGGGCAGGUCACCAUAGUUACCAUAAAAGAGUUGCUUGAGCUCGUUAUCCCAUUGAUUCCAUAUCUCUUUUAAAUCUUGCACUCCGUCUUGAGUUACACUAAUGCGAGUGAAGUCCCACAAUUCUGAUGCAUAUCCUUCCACGAGGCUAUCAUCCUUUUCUCGCUGAACCUUUUCGGACCAAACUCGGACAGCUGCAUUGUCUUCCACUUUACCAAGAAACUCCCUUUCCAUGUUGAGCUUCUCUAGUUAGAUACUGAACUUGAACCAACACCUUUUUAUGAUGAAAAUGCCAUGCAAUCACAGUCAGAGCAAAGCAAGUCAGUAUAACACAAAAAUUAAACUCAAAGUAUACAAGAAAUAAUAAUUAAAGCCACUAUUCAGGAAACUACUAGGGUUCGAGAUGGUUCUACAUAAGGUAGGCUCCUAGGGCUCAUUAUAUGCGGUUUGGUUCUAAAGUCGAGGUACCUGAACCAGCAGAUUCCUCGAUCCUCACCCAUUAUAGGCUCAUACAGACCGAGUUCAGUUCAGGGGAAUACAUUUCCCUAUAGCUGCACGGAGAUGAAAAUCUCACGAAGACAUAGGUACGGAUGUAUCCCGAAAGUGAUCCACUAUCCUGCACGGAGGUGAAGACCUCCCAAAGGACUAGUUUCUCACUCCCACUUAAAAGAUGUAACCUACGGUCAUGCAAUGCAGUGCAGAAGUAUCAAAAGGCUUGAACUAAAAAGGUAAGCAUACUAAAGACCACAAAAAACAACGGACAAAACGCAACGAAAGGAUCGUACAUUUAAACCAAAUUUUCAAUUUUCGACAAAAGGACAAAAAUUAAUCAACUCAUGGCUUGACUCUCUUAUUACGUCCCCAGUGGGGUCGCCAAGCUGUUGACACCAUUUUUUUUGAUGAAACGGGGUCGACUUGGAUUUUAAAAAUCAAAACGGAAAAACAGGAGUCGCCACCAAUCCUUUUUUGAUAAGGUGUGAUCGGAUCACCUUGAAAAAUGGUUGUUUUUAAUAAACGAUUUAAUUUUAUUAAAACAAUGAUUUUGGUCCACGAAAUUCAAAAAAAUGGGUUCGGGAGUCGGUUACGUACGAGGAAGGAUUAGUACCCUCGUAACGCUCAAAAAUUGGUACCUAGUUGAUUAGUUAAUAUCUUAAUGUCGAAGAUUGAAAACUUUGAAGAGUUUUAAAAAAAUACGAUCCUUAAAAAAAACUCGAAUAAUAGAUUGAAAGUUAAGAAGAUAUUUGGCUAUUUGGUCAAACGAGAAAUUGAGACCCAGCACGUUAGGGCACAUUCUCUCAAAUUUCCAAACGCAAAUAUUGCCUUACUUUGAAAGUUUAAAAGGAUAUUUGGCUAUUUGGUCAAACGAGAAGUCGAAACCCAACACGUUAGGGUACGUUUGCUCGAUUUUCCAAACGCGAAAUAUUGCCUUAUUUUAAAAGUUUAAAAAGGAUAUUUGGCUAUUUGGUCGAACGAGAAAUCGAAACCCAGCACGUUAGGGCACGUUUUCUCGAUUUUCCAAACGCGAAAUAUUGCCUUAUUUUAAAAGUUUAAAAAGGAUAUUUGGCUAUUUGGUCGAACGAGAAAUCGAAACCCAGCACGUUAGGGCACGUUUUCUCGAUUUUCCAAACGCAAAAUAUUGCCUUGUUUAGAAAAACCUUCCUUUUGAUGUUUGGUAUUAAUAAGCAUGACAAAACAAUAACGAAUAAAUAAAUAUAAUAGGCAGAAUGAAAUGACGACAAGGUAACAACAAUAUAAUAGGCAAAAUGAAAAUAAGAAAUGACGAGGCGAUUACAUAAACAAAGCAAACGAAUAAAUAAAUAGAACUAACAAUUUAGAAAAGUAAAAGUGUACNNNNNNNNNNNNNNNNNNNNNNNNNNNNNNNNNNNNNNNNNNNNNNNNNNNNNNNNNNNNNNNNNNNNNNNNNNNNNNNNNNNNNNNNNNNNNNNNNNNNNNNNNNNNNNNNNNNNNNNNNNNNNNNNNNNNNNNNNNNNNNNNNNNNNNNNNNNNNNNNNNNNNNNNNNNNNNNNNNNNNNNNNNNNNNNNNNNNNNNNNNNNNNNNNNNNNNNNNNNNNNNNNNNNNNNNNNNNNNNNNNNNNNNNNNNNNNNNNNNNNNNNNNNNNNNNNNNNNNNNNNNNNNNNNNNNNNNNNNNNNNNNNNNNNNNNNNNNNNNNNNNNNNNNNNNNNNNNNNNNNNNNNNNNNNNNNNNNNNNNNNNNNNNNNNNNNNNNNNNNNNNNNNNNNNNNNNNNNNNNNNNNNNNNNNNNNNNNNNNNNNNNNNNNNNNNNNNNNNNNNNNNNNNNNNNNNNNNNNNNNNNNNNNNNNNNNNNNUAAAUGAAAAGUAUGUACGGAAAUAUAUAUUAUAAAAAUGUAUGAACAAUUUGAAAUUAUUAAUAUUAAAAUAUUUUAACAUAGAUAAUAAUAUAUAAGAUGAUAAUAUAUAAAUUUAAACCAAAUAAAUAAAUAAGAUAAAAACUUUAGAUAAAUACUAGUCAAUCUAAAAUAGUUUAAAAUAAAGCAAUAUACAAAAGAAAAUCUUAAACAAUAAAAGAAACAGUUUUUUUUAAAUAUAUAAAAAAUUUUAAUGCAAAGCAAUUUCAAAUAAAUGAUAAAUAUAAAGGCUUAAAACAAAUAAUUGUAAAAUAACAUAUAUAUAAAAAAAAUUAAACAUAUUAAGGACGUGGUUGAAAAAGAAUUAAAAAAACGGGUCUUAAACUACAAAUAUAUGAAAUAGGUGGUAAAGGGGUUGAAAUAAUAGGCGCUAAGGACCUGGGGGACCGAUUAUGCAAUAUUCCCUGUCCCAUAUGCGCAUUGAUUUGCGCGGGACCAGAUUGGAACAAGCGAAAAAAUAGGUGGCUAAAAUUAAAAAGAAGCAAAAGGCGCCAUUGAAUGCACCGCAGGAUUAGAGGGACCAAAGGCACAAAUUACCCAUUAGGGCAUGAGUGCGCCGGUCCCACUCCUUCAAACGGCACCAAUUUAAUUACCUUAAAAGCUAAAAAAUAAAAAAAAACUUUCUGCAGUUUCAUUCUCUUGCAAAACCACAAAAAAAUAAAAGGGAGGUCUCCAUUUUUCUGCUUGGGUUCCAGGCCCAGUCGCCGCCGCCGUCACGCCUCCCUACCACCCGGUGGCCAGAGCCAUGUGAGGGCGUCUCCCACCAACGCUUUGGAGCGCGUUCAGAGACCCAAGCUCCGAAAUGGGGAAACGAGGGGAAAACGGAAAACCUCUGCCCCUUCCUUUCCCUUUUUCCUUAUCUAGACUUAGUGUUUUAAGAUAGAUUAAAAAAGAAAAAAGAUAAUAAUAAAAAGACUAUAUAAAAAAACGAAAGAACAGUUCUAAAAAACAACCUUUAGAAUUUCAAUUUCUAACUUUCGAUUUUCUGAUGUGCGUUCGUAAAAAAAAUACAACGAUUAGAUUCGGGCUUUUAUAGCCGAAUUAAAAAAACACUUUCUUCUUCUUUACUAUCUGUUAAUUACCCGCGUGCCUCCUUUUUGCCAUUGCAUUUAAUUUUUGCAGGUGUCAGACGCGUGGACGACCGGUGGUAGGCGAGCCUUGGGCGGUGGCGGCGUACGAGGAGGUGGAACGGCGCGCAUUGCUGGAGCCUGGGCAUGCGGUGCUGGGGCUUAGGGUUUCCUUUGAUGGCUGAAAAGCUUUUAAGUUUUGUGGGC